Molecule: ribosomal RNA, 163 nt
Filed under: Muraltia crassifolia
Lineage: Eukaryota; Viridiplantae; Streptophyta; Magnoliopsida; Fabales; Polygalaceae
Description: 5.8S ribosomal RNA
Rfam family: 5.8S ribosomal RNA
About the family: 5.8S ribosomal RNA (5.8S rRNA) is a component of the large subunit of the eukaryotic ribosome. It is transcribed by RNA polymerase I as part of the 45S precursor that also contains 18S and 28S rRNA. Functionally, it is thought that 5.8S rRNA may be involved in ribosome translocation.
Source: RNAcentral
GAACGACUCUCGGCAACGGAUAUCUCGGCUCUCGCAUCGAUGAAGAACGUAGCGAAAUGCGAUACUUGGUGUGAAUUGCAGAAUCCCGUGAACCAUCGAGUCUUUGAACGCAAGUUGCGCCCAAUGCCUUAUGGCCGAGGGCACGUCUGCCUGGGCGUCACGC